CAUUACCGUUUGUCUCAUGACAAAAACCCACUGUGAACUGUACCGAGCUCGUGGGGUAACCCUUGUGGUUUUAAAUGAUUUGAACGAAUCGGCCCCACGUGCGCAACCAAUCAAAUUUUUAACACACCUAAUACUGUUUUCCAGUAUCACUGAUUUUCAGGCUGAGCAAUCGGUCCGAAAUGAAAGUAAACACUUGACAACUUUUAACGGUGGAUCUCUUGGCUCGUGCAUCGAUGAAGAACGUAGCCAGUUGCGAUAAGUAGUGUGAAUUGCAGAAUUCAGUGAAUCAUCGAAUCUUUGAACGCAAAUUGCGCUCUCUGGAUAUCCAGGGAGCAUGCCUGUCUGAGCGUCGUGUAAAACCUACACACUCCGGUGUGGCUAGGGAGCUUCAAGCGUCCUGGUACGUUUGGCUCUCCAUGUACCUGAACUCGAUUGCAAUCGUCUAUCGAAGGUUGCUAUCGGAAGGCUCAACUAGCUUCUGUCCUUCUUGAUAGCCGAGUGACAGCGAUUGUGUUCUUGGGUUCUUGGCUCUUAUUAGUUAAGAGCAACACUCGAACUUUGACCUCAGAUCAGACA
RNAcentral lists this unclassified non-coding RNA (576 nucleotides) under Zanclea sango. Its description in RNAcentral is "sequence contains ITS1, 5.8S rRNA gene, ITS2". The stretch from base 199 to 352 matches the Rfam family "5.8S ribosomal RNA". The record is from RNAcentral. Lineage: Eukaryota; Metazoa; Cnidaria; Hydrozoa; Anthoathecata; Zancleidae.